GACAAAGGGAGUAUAAGUUUCCAUGUCCAACUUUGAUCUUUCGUCUUAUUUGAAAUUUUUCUAUAAUUAGCAUAUUUAUUGUUAUUAGAUGAUAAAAUAUGAGUAAUAAUUUAUGCAUGACUUCUGUUUUUAAUUUUUUUAAAAAAUAAAACGAACAAUUAAAAUUAGUCAUGUAAAUACGCAUGGAUA
RNAcentral lists this microRNA precursor (189 nucleotides) under Oryza sativa Indica Group (long-grained rice). RNAcentral describes it as "MIR812 microRNA precursor family". It matches the Rfam family "MIR812 microRNA precursor family". The record is from Rfam by way of RNAcentral. Lineage: Eukaryota; Viridiplantae; Streptophyta; Magnoliopsida; Poales; Poaceae.